This 253-nucleotide ribosomal RNA is filed under the name uncultured bacterium. RNAcentral's name for it is "partial 16S ribosomal RNA". It matches the Rfam family "Bacterial small subunit ribosomal RNA", at positions 524 to 776 of the family's 1533-position model. The record is from RNAcentral.
UACGGGGGGGGCAAGCGUUGUUCGGAAUUACUGGGCGUAAAGGGCUCGUAGGUGGCCAACUAAGUCAGGGGUGAAAUCCUGGAGCUCAACUCCAGAACUGCCUUUGAUACUGAAGAUCUUGAGUUCGGGAGAGGUGAGUGGAACUGCGAGUGUAGAGGUGAAAUUCGUAGAUAUUCGGAAGAACACCAGUGGCGAAGGCGGCUCACUGGACCGGCAUUGACGCUGAGGUGCGAAAGCGUGGGGAGCAAACAGG